UUGCGCGAAGUGCAGGAAGGUGCUACCAGAACCUAGCUACUCAGCUCAGCUCAGCUUCACAAAGUGGACGAAGAAGGCUUAACGCUGUCGAAGAUCGUUUUCGCAGCUCAAUACCGGUUAGCAAGAUCGACAGUAGCACGGCUAAUGGUCGCGGUGACCAUGGACGCAGUGCGUUGCUGCUCGCUCGCUACUCAGAGCUAAUGUGCUUUAUGUGGGUAUGUGUUUGUGUGCGACACUAAAAUUAUAGUGCAGGGUGAGUUUAACUUUCAUACUAUGCCACUUGGAACGUCGUAGCGCAAAAGAUGCUCUUUCUCACCUUCUGAAAUACGAAAUAAAAAAAAAAAUUAAAAAUUCUGAAAAAUUCCAAGUGAAAGUUUGUUAAAAUUGCGGUGAUAGUAAGAAAAUCUAUAAAAAAAUACACAUAGAAAGUUGCUGAAGUUGCUUCUUACUGCUUCCAAUUUCUAUUUGCUUCUCCUAUUCUUCCAUCUCCUUGGCCAUGCAAGCUUCAGCUGGCGAGUAGUGCAGUGCUUCGAAAGUAAAAAAAAAAUGGAAAGAUGAAAAGUGACUGCAUAAAAGUGCAAAAAUAAAUCAAAUAAAAAAAUAAAUGUAAUCCUUACCAUCGCUGCGAAGUGCAUAAAAUCGUUUGCCACUGCGGCCAUUAAUGUUAAUGACGUAAAGUGAAAAUUUCAGUAGCCACCAGCAACCUUUGCGGCUGUCCUCUUCAACUUUUCGACGCUUUCAUUUACCAACACUUUCGUCGUCGACUACUACGUUUUAUGUUUUGCCUUUGGCGUAUUUUAAUGGUGAAGUGUUACCAUGACGUUGAUCGUCGAAUUUUAUGUUUGUGUAAAAAACCUUGGCUAAAUAUUGUGCAACUGAAUUAAAUACGACAGCAAUAAAUUUUAAGUAGCUGACAAAAAACGAAAAUGUUUCAAAGGCGUUAAUUUAAUUGUUCGAAAUAACGAAUUGCAGUUAAUCUACUACUAAUAAUAAUGUACAUAUAUACGUGAUGUUU
This is a long non-coding RNA of Rhagoletis zephyria (snowberry fruit fly), 1015 nucleotides long. RefSeq lists it as uncharacterized. Lineage: Eukaryota; Metazoa; Arthropoda; Insecta; Diptera; Tephritidae. The record is from RefSeq and is a predicted model, not a curated record.